AGAUUGAACGCUGGCGGCAUGCCUUACACAUGCAAGUCGAACGGCAGCACGGGGGCAACCCUGGUGGCGAGUGGCGAACGGGUGAGUAACAUAUCGGAACGUGCCCUGGAGUGGGGGGAUAACUAGUCGAAAGACUAGCUAAUACCGCAUACGAUCUAUGGAUGAAAGUGGGGGAUCGCAAGACCUCAUGCUCGUGGAGCGGCCGUAUAUCUGAUUAGCUAGUUGGUGGGUAAGGCCUACCAAGGCAUCGAUCAGUAGCUGGUCUGAGAGGACGACCAGCCACACUGGGACUGAGACACGGCCAGCUCCGUACGGGAGGCAGCGUAGGUGGGAAUUUUGGACAAGUGGGCGUAAGCCUGAUCCGAGC
This 367-nucleotide ribosomal RNA is filed under the name uncultured soil bacterium. Its description in RNAcentral is "bacterial SSU rRNA". It matches the Rfam family "Bacterial small subunit ribosomal RNA", at positions 26 to 392 of the family's 1533-position model. The record is from RNAcentral.